GCUUGUGCACUGGUGGAUGCGGAGUAAUUCCUCGCCGGAGGUACACUAGGGCGGCGGCUGAGUGGUCGAUGCGGUGGAGUGGAAAUAAGGUUGCGGCGGAGUGGAAAUAAGGUUUCAGCCCGUUUCCACCUCAUCGGCUUGUAUAUUCAGGAUGUAAGUGGCAGCGGCGUUUCGCGAUCCCACAUACGCCGCCCGCGAAAUUCGGCCCAAAUGGAUGCUCAUGGAAGAUGGAACAACUGGUACAGAUAGGAUACUUCCCACAAAUGGAAGCAAACAUUUGUAACCAUAUAGGUGCAUUUCCCUUUAUUUUAAUAAGAUGUUUGGAAGGCUCCUGUUCAUCUGCUGAUGCUGCUCCCUGGUUGCACUUCAAGAUGUAGAUUCAUGUCAAGUUGAUCUCAGCUGCUAAAAGGGUGGUAUAUUCAUCUCAACCCCAGUGUCUUCGUGCCAGAUUGAUGCAUCUUUUGGGAAUUAUGGCACAUCCUAAUUUUCUGUUGCUGUUACUUCACACAUUUGAAGAAGAACUCUGAAAUGCUCACAGUUUGUUGUUUCUAGAGGUUAUCUCUACUGGAUGCUCUUUUUGUUUUGCCUGCAGCAAUGCAAUGUAUCGAUAUGCCUGCCUCACAGAUUGUGCUUAAGUUGUUGGACAAGAUUAUGUGUACUUGUUCUAUUUUUUCUUUGUUAAAGAAGGGUCCGAAAUAAUCUGUCGUAUCUUUUAUCAGUUCA
Molecule: long non-coding RNA, 723 nt
Organism: Lolium rigidum
Lineage: Eukaryota; Viridiplantae; Streptophyta; Magnoliopsida; Poales; Poaceae
Exons: 2
Source: RefSeq, a predicted model, not a curated record